GCUGUUAUUCGAAGGUCUUCGGACCGCCCCUUCAGUUGACUCGUGAUCCGCCGCCUUUGAUAUAUGGACGAAUCACAGUCACCUGAUGGUACGGUCUUUGAAUUCCUAUAUUAUUAUGGU
This 120-nucleotide microRNA precursor is filed under the name Caenorhabditis remanei. Its description in RNAcentral is "mir-250". The stretch from base 19 to 99 matches the Rfam family "mir-250 microRNA precursor family". The record is from RNAcentral. Lineage: Eukaryota; Metazoa; Nematoda; Chromadorea; Rhabditida; Rhabditidae.